GGAGUGAUGCAAACGCAUGAUGAAGAAACGCGCAAGUUUUUCAAGUAUUCUUCUGUUAAUUGUGUGUUAUCGCCGCGUUAUGCCUGCAGUAAGCUUAGCAUUUUCAAGCAACAGGUUGUUGGGACCCUUUUUACACAUCAUCAGAAAUGUGUGAUUGUGGAUACACAAGCAUCUGGAAAUAAUCGGAAGAUAAGUGCUUUUAUAGGAGGUCUUGAUCUUUGUGAUGGCCGCUAUGAUACACCUGAACAUCGGUUGUUUCGGGAUCUUGACACUGUAUUUCAGGAUGAUUAUCACAAUCCAACAUUUUCAUCAGGAACCAAGGGUCCUCGGCAACCGUGGCAUGAUUGGCAUUGCAAAAUUGAAGGACCUGCUGCAUAUGAUAUUCUUACAAACUUUGAGCAGCGUUGGAGAAAAGCCUCAAAAUGGUCAGAAUUUGGACGGCGUUUUAAAAGGGUAACUCAUUGGCAUGAUGAUGCUUUAAUAAAGUUGGAACGAAUCUCAUGGAUACUUAGUCCUGGCCCAUCAAUUCCUGAUGAUGAUCCUAAAUUAUGGGUGUCCAAUGAAGAUGAUCCUGAAAACUGGCAUGUUCAGGUUUUCCGGUCUAUAGAUUCAGGAUCUCUGAAAGGGUUUCCCAAAGACGUUUAUCAAGCUGAGGCUCAGAACCUUGUAUGUGCUAAGAAUCUGGUGAUUGAUAAGAGCAUUCAAACAGCAUACAUUCAGGCAAUCAGAUCUGCCCAACACUUCAUAUAUAUUGAGAAUCAGUAUUUCAUUGGAUCAUCUUAUGCAUGGCCAUCUUACAAAGAAGCAGGGGCUGAUAAUCUAAUUCCUAUGGAGUUGGCAUUGAAGAUUGCUAGUAAAAUCAGAGCAAAGGAGAGGUUUGCUGUCUAUGUCGUCGUACCAAUGUGGCCUGAGGGUGUUCCCACUUCUGUCUCUGUGCAAGAAAUUCUCUUUUGGCAGGUAAUAUGGCAUAUGGUUUAGUUCAUUGAGUGUAAGUUGAGG
Molecule: unclassified non-coding RNA, 999 nt
Filed under: Hevea brasiliensis (rubber tree)
Lineage: Eukaryota; Viridiplantae; Streptophyta; Magnoliopsida; Malpighiales; Euphorbiaceae
Source: RNAcentral